RNAcentral lists this long non-coding RNA (6463 nucleotides) under Homo sapiens (human). RNAcentral describes it as "HSALNT0198565". Lineage: Eukaryota; Metazoa; Chordata; Mammalia; Primates; Hominidae. The record is from RNAcentral.
GAACAACUCAGUGGAAAGAGGACAUUCAGGGAAGAAUCCAAGAGGUGGAGGAGAAGAGCUUACAGAUUACUGGGGACUGGUCCUUGGCUGAGGAGGCAGUGAUGGUGAAAGAUGAGUGCCUCGUAGGAACAGUGAAGAGAUUGGUGUAGCUUCAGAAGGCACAAGGGGAGGCCGAGGUUCAAGAGGUAAGACUGAGCUGGGCAGAUGUUUUAACAGGAUCAUUCCAGCUACUGUGCUGAGAAUAGACUCCAGGAAGGGCAUGGCAGAAACAGGAAGACCAGUUAGGAGCGCAGCAAUAAUCCAGGGCAGAGAUGCUGCGAUUUGACCCAGCUUAAUAUGUUGGCUUGGCUCAGCACAGUCACAGGUGGACAGCCCAGUUCCACGCAGCACGUGUAGACCAGGCAAUAUACAACCACCAAGAGGGAUCUUGCUUCCUAUUGUGUCCGGAAUUGGUGGGUUCUUGGUCUCACUGACUUCAAGAAUGAAGCCGCGGACCCUCGUGGUGAGUAUUACAGUUCUUAAAGGUGGUGGGUCCAGAGUUUGUUCCUUCUGAUGUUCGGACUUGUUCGGAGUUUCUUCCUUCUGGUGGGUUCGUGGUCUCGCUGGCUUCAGGAGUGAAGCUGCAGACCUUCGUGGUGAGUGUUACAGCUCUUGAGGUGGCGCGUCUGGAGUUGUUCAUUCCUCCCGGUGGGUUCAUGGUCUCGCUGGCCUCAGGAGUGAAGCUGCAGACCUUUGCAGUGAGUGUUACAGCUCAUAAAGGCAAUGUGGAACCAAAGAGUGAGCAGCAUCAAGAUUUAUUGCAAAGAGCAAAAGAACAAAGCUUCCACAGCGUGGAAGGGGACCCCAAUGGGUUGCCACUGCUGGCUCCAGCAGCCUGCUUUCAUUCCCUUAUCUGACCCCACCCACUUCCUGCUGAUUGGCCCAUUUUACAGAGAGCUGAUUGGUCUGCUUUGGCAGCAUGCUGAUUGGUGAAUUUACUAUCCCUGAGCUAGACACAGAGUGCUGAUUGGUGUAUUUACAAUCCUCUAGCUAGACGUAAAAGUUCUCCAAGUCCCCACUAGAUUAGCAAGGCACAGAGCACUGAUUGGUGUAUUUACAAACCUUAAGCUAGACACAGAGUGCUGAUUGGUGCGUCUACAAACCUUGAGCUAGACACAGGGUGCUGAUUGGUGCGUUUACAAACCUUGAGCUAGAUACAGAGUGCUGAUUGGUGUAUUUACAAUCCUCUAGCUAGACAUAAAAGUUCUCCAAGUCCCUACUAGAUUAGCUAGACACAGAGCACUGAUUGGUGCAUUUACAAACCUUGAGCUAGCCACAGUGUGCUGACUGGUGCAUUUACAAACCUUGAGCUAGCCACAAAGUGCUGAUUGGCACAUUUACAAACCUUUAGUUAGACAUAAAAGUUCUCCAAGUCCCCACCUGACUCAGGAGCCCAGCUGGCUUCGCCUAGUGGAUCCCGCUCCAGGGCCACGUGAGGAGUUGCCCGACCAUCCCAUGCUGCGUGCCCACACUCCUUUGCCAUUGUGUAGUCGAUGGGACCAGGCUCCGUGGAGCAGGGGGGGUUAGGGCAUGGCGGGCUGCAGGUCCCAAGCCCUGCCCCGCAGGGAGGCGGCUGAGGCCCGGCAAGAAUUUGAGCAUGGCACAGGUGGGCCAACAGUGCUGGGGGACCCGGUGCACCCUCCACAGCUGAGCCCACGCCCACCCGGAACUCGUGCUGGCCCCAGUUCCUGCCCAUGCCUCUCCCUCCACACCUCCCCACAAACAGAGGGAGCCGGCUCUGGCCUCAGCCAGCCCAAAGAGGGGCCCCCACAGUGCAGUGGUGGGCUGAAGGGCUCCUUGAGCAUGGCCAGAGUGGACGCCGAGGCUGAGGAGGCACUGAGAGUGAGCGAGGGCUGCUAGCACAUUGUCACCUCUCAAUCCCCCCUCUAAACUGGACACUCCAACUGCUGUUGGGAAUUUGGCCGAUGACUGCUCUAGCUACUUCCUGCUGGAUAGGGGUGAUGAAGGGGCCCUGCAGUUGUAGUGUCCUCCAGAGGGGAACUCUUUAGGCCAGUGGAAGGGCCAGCAGGUCAGUCCAGGUGUCCUCGGUAGAAGUUGUUAGUUGAACUCAUUUGGGGUUCCAUUUGUAAGACCAUCUGUAGCUUGAUGGCCUCGAUUCUAGAGGAAACAAAUUUGACAAGAAGGUUAAAAAUACAGGGCCCAAAGGCAAGUAACAGCAAGAUGGCUGCCACAGGACCUAGAAAGGGGAGGGAGAAGCCAUGUGGCCCAACUCCAGAGGUUGGUAUAAGAGUUUGAAAGACGUUGCCUGAUUUCAGAAGCCUUUUCCUGUAAACACCGGGUGGCAUCUCACACUAUCCAUGACUGGUUAGUGUAAAAACAACAGUCUUCCCCUAAGAAGGUGCAGAGUCCUCCUUUCUCAGCAGUGAGGAGGUCUAGGCCUCGGUGGUUUUGGAGAGUCACUGCUGUCAAAGAGUCUAUUUGGGAUUGUAGAGUAAGGAUAGAUUUCGUUAUUUCUUGCAAACUGUCUGAAAAAUCCUUUGAGAGUGUCUGGUAGUAGGAUAAUGAAGUAGAUAAACUGGCUAUUCCGGUUCCUGUAGCAGUAACUAUUCCUAACCCUGUAAGUAGUGGUAUCAGUUGUAUGGCUCUGCACUGACAGACUUGAGUUUUGAGGGGUACUGAUAGGCUCUGAUUUCCUGGGGCAAUGUUAAUGUUGGGACUUAGAAAGACUAAGGUGCAGGUGCCUAUCCAGUUAGUGGGGAGGCAGAUGUAGGUCCACAUUCCACAUAGGAAGAAUAUACCUUGGCUGGGUAGACAGAACUUUACCCUGGCUUUUAAAGGAAUAGGAUACACUGUUUUUUCUUUACUACUUCUAUCUCUGUCUUUGACUUCUUCGUCUCUCUCUUUCUGACUGCCUCUGUCUGUCUCUUCCUCUCUCUGUCUCCUUCUCUUUGACUUCCUGUCUUUCUCUUUCUCUCUUUGUCUCUCUAUCUCUUCCUCUCUGACUUCUUGUCUCUUUCUGUCUUUCAUUUCUUCUGCCUCUGCCAUAUGCUUAUGCUGCUGUUCUCCCUUCUCCUUCCCCUUUUGAUGGCUUUGGCAGUGUAAGACUGCCACCUUCUUCGGUUUUUGCACUAUGUACAGUAACUCCAUGAUUUCCUUGUGGCAUUUAAUGGGGGUUCCCCGAGGUUGGGAACUCCCUUUCUUUCCAUAUUGCAGCAUGGGCAUGUAGGAUUACAUAAGCAUACUUGCUAUCUGUAUACACAUUUAUUCUUUUUCCCUUUCCCAGUACUAAGGCUCGGGUAAGUGCCACUAGUUCUGCUAACUGGGCACUUGUCCCUGGGGGAAGAGGCUUACUUUCAAGUACAGUUACAUCACUAACUAUGGUGUAACCUGCCCUUCGUAUCCCAUUCUUCACAAAUGAACUUCCAUUGGUAUAUAGGUUAAGGUCAGGAUUAGCUAAGGGGACUUCUAAGAGACCAUCUCGGGUGGCAUAAGUCUGGACUAUAAUUUGUUGGCAGCCAUGCUCAAUUGGUUCCCCAUCCUCUGGGAGAAAAGUGGCAGGGUUGAGGGCCACGCACAUGCAUAUUUGAAGCACCAGUCUCUCAAGAAGUAGUGCCUGGUAUCUAAGUAGGUGGUUGUCUGAUAGCCAUAAACUUCCUUUGGCACCUAGUGUGCCAUUUACAUCAUGAGUAGUCCAGACAGUGAGAUCUUUUCCUUGUAGUAUCUUGAUAGCCUCUGACACUAAGAUGGCCACCACCACAGUGAGGCCAGCCUUUUGAUACUACAUCAAUUUCCUUACUUAUGUAUACCUGCCACUGGUUGUGUGGUUGUCCCACGAGUCUGAGUAAGGACUCCAAGAGCUAUCCCUGCUCUCUCUGUGACGUAUAAAGAGAAGUUUUGUCCUGUCAGAAGGCUUAAAACUGGAGCUUGUGCGAGGGCCUGCUUUAAGGUUUUGAAGGCUGUUUCUGCCUCUGGUUCCCAUUCUACUAGAUGAAUAUUUGCCCUCUGGGUUUCCUUGAUUAGAGUAUAGAGGGGCCUGGCUAUCUCGCUGUAUCUGGGGAUCCAUGGUCAGCAAAAGCCAGUAAUUCCAAGGAACCCCCGCAACUGUUUUAAUGUCUUAGGGCAAGGAUAAGCCAGUAUAGGCUGUAUUCAUUCCUUGCUGAGGGCCCUGGUCCCUCUGGCUAAGAUUAGGUCUAGAUAUUUGACCUGCUGUAGGCAAAGCUGGGUCUUCGACCUAGACCCCUCUAUCCUUGAUUAGCUAGAAAGUUCAAGAGAUCUAAAGUAGCCUGCUGGCAUGAGGCUUCUGAAAUGGUAGCCAAAAGUAAAUCAUCCACAUACUGAAGGACCAGAGUGCCUGGACUUUAGAAGUGGCCUAGAUCUUGGGCCGUGCCUCACCAAACAGAUGAGGGCUAUCCCUAAACCCUUGGGGCAAGAUCAUCCAAGUAAGUUGUGAUGUGUGGUCUGUGGGAUCCUCAAAGGCAAAGAGAAACUGGGAGUCAGAGUGCAGGGGAAGACAGAAGGCAGCAUCCUUAAGGUCCAGAACUGUGAACCAUCCUGCUUCUUCUGGUAUUUGAGAGAGCAGGGUAUAGGGGUUGGGUACAACUGGAUAUAGAGGAAUUACUGCCUCAUUGAUGAGUCUAAGAUCUUGCACUAAUCUCCACUGACCAUUCGGCUUUUGUACUCCUAGAAUUGGGGUGUUGCAAAGACUGCUGCAUUUCCUUACUAAGCUUGAGCUUUUAAAUGUUUAACAAUAUCAUGUAAACCUUUAUGAGCUUCAGGCCUUAAGGGAUAUUGCCUUUGAUAAGGAAAAGUGGCGGGAUCUUUUAACCUGAUUUGGACUGGGCAGGCAUUUUUUUGCCCUUCCAAAUUGUCCUUCCAAUGCCCAGACGUCAGGGUUGAUUCCCUCCUCAAGUAGAGGACAACAAAUGGGUAACUUCUUCCCCAUAUUCAUGUAGAUAAUAGCUCCAGCCUUGGCUAAUAUAUCUCUCCCUAAUAAGGGUGUGGGACUUUCAGGCAUAACAAGAAAGGCAUGUGAAAAGAGCAAAGUCUCCCAAUUACAACUGAGGAGGUGGAAGAAAUCCCUGGUUACAGGCUGUCCCAGGAUUCCUCGGAUGGUAACGGACCUUGAGGACAGUCGUCCAGAACAGGAGAUUAACACUGAGAAGGCCACACCAGUGUCCAGGAGGAAGUCAAUUUCCUGGCCCUCAAUGGUUAAGCAUACCUGGGGUUCAGUGAGGGUGAUGACAUGAGCUGGCGCUUGCCCCGGGCACCCUCAGUCCUGUUGUCGGAUCAUCUGGUUGGGGGCUUCUGACCCAGAGAACAUUUGUCCUCUGGGGCAGUGUACCUUCCAGUGAUUGCCUCGGCAUAGUGGACAUGGAUGAGGGGACAGCUUGUGUCUCAUUGGACAAUCUUUUUUUAAAGUGUCCUAAUAAACCACACUGAUAAUAAGCCCUACUGGGUGGUGAUUGGCCUGCUCCAUUUUCUGUCCUCUCUGAGCCACCAAGGUUUGUUUGUCUGAGGGCCAUGAUUAAGGCUGCAGCCUUUCUCUGAUCUCGCUUUUCCUUUUGGGCCUGUUCCUCUUGGUCCCUAUUAUACAACACCAAGGUUACCAGGUUUAAUAAUGCCUCCAAAUUUUUUUCAGGGCCCAGGGCUUGCUUUUGGAACUUUCUCCUGAUAUCUGUGGCUGAUUGGGUAAUAAACUUAUCUUUUAGAAUCAAUUGACCCUCGAGUGAUUCAGGUGACAGGGGAGUAUAUUUUCUUAAGGCCUCCCAUAGUCACUCGAGGAAGGCAGAAGGAUUUUCUUCCUUUCCCUGAGUUAUGGUGGACAUCAUUGAAUAAUUCAUGGGCUUUUUAAUAAUUCUCCUUAGUCCUUCUAGAACACAGGUCAAAAGAUGUUUACAACUCCAGUCCUCAUGAUCUGAGUCAAGGUCCCAGUGGGGAUCCAUACUGGGGAUGGCUUGCUGACCGGUAGGGAAUUUAUCCCUUUCUUUGGUUGUCAUUCUAUCAUUUACUUGACUAAGAUACCACGUAUCUCCAAACUCUCAGGCUGCAGCUAAAGCUUCAUUCUUUUCAUUAAGGCCAGGGUUUGAUCUAACAGUAGCAUGACAUCUCUCCAAGCGAGGUCGAAGGUUUGCCCUAGACCCUGUAGGACAUCUAGGUACCUAUCAGGAUCAUCUGAAAACUUUGCCAGGUCUGCCUUGAUCUGCUUUAAGUCAGAGAGGGAGAAGGGGACAUGUACCUGGGUUGGGCCAAAUUCCCCUCCCCCUACAGCUUGAAGGGGACAUAACCGAUAGCCCGGGGGGGGGUUUGUGGUGCUUUGGAUAUUUCUUUGCUUAUUUCCUUCUGGGCAGGGGAGAUUAGAAGAGGAUUAUCAUUAAUAGGAAGGGGAGCUAUAGGGAGGCUAGGAUAUGGGGGUAAGCUGAGAGGUCCUCCUGUGGGAUGUAACUUGCAAGCUUUGCAUAGUUGU